RNAcentral lists this ribosomal RNA (253 nucleotides) under uncultured bacterium. Its description in RNAcentral is "partial 16S ribosomal RNA". It matches the Rfam family "Bacterial small subunit ribosomal RNA", at positions 524 to 776 of the family's 1533-position model. The record is from RNAcentral.
UACGUAGGGUGCGAGCGUUAAUCGGAAUUACUGGGCGUAAAGCGUGCGCAGGCGGUUUUGUAAGCCAGAUGUGAAAUCCCCGGGCUUAACCUGGGAAUGGCAUUUGGGACUGCAAUGCUGGAGUGUUGCAGAGGAGACUGGAAUUCCUGGUGUAGCAGUGAAAUGCGUAGAUAUCAGGAGGAAUACCGAUGGCGAAGGCAGGUCUCUGGGCUGACACUGACGCUCAGGCACGAAAGCGUGGGGAGCAAACAGG